This is a long non-coding RNA of Bombus impatiens (common eastern bumble bee), 1030 nucleotides long. RefSeq lists it as uncharacterized. The record is from RefSeq and is a predicted model, not a curated record. NCBI's taxonomy places the organism in Eukaryota, Metazoa, Arthropoda, Insecta, Hymenoptera, Apidae. The transcript has 2 exons.
AUAUGCGGCAUUGGGAAUUGCUACGAAACUAUUCUAAAAUAACGGAGCAAACACCAGAAGCCGUAGAAGACUUGCUUGAAACAGUCAAGGUGAGUCUUAAAGCGCUAGAGAAAUUAGGUCAAUCUAUCACCUCAAACAUAACACUCAUCGAGUUGCUUUCAUCGAAACUGCCUUUGUCCAUGGCAGCGCACGUUGCCUAAUAAAAGAAUACCAUCAUACACACAUUUGAUGGAUUCUAUUCAAACCCGGGUUAACGAUGAUGACCUCCGAUCGAAAUCGAAUAAAACCAAAAGGCCAUCCUAUCAAUCUCUCCAUCACCGACAACACUUACGGCGAGGGCAAACAUUCACCACAACAAACAGGACGUUGGUGUGUCCGACAUGCCAAGGACCCCACGAAAUCAAGCAUUGCAAGGCCUUCAAAGCCAAAUCGGUAAUCAAACGCUUUGAACUUGUAAAAAGGGCAUCACUCUGCACAAAUUGCAUAGGCAGAGCACACUCUCUUACCCAAUGUUCAGUUGCAUCGUGUCACAUAUGUGUACACCGACACCACACAUAUUUACAUCGGGAACAUACCAAUGUCAGUUCUCGUGUAUCAAGCGUAUGAUCAUCGAGCGAUCAGUCGCUAAGCGGUCAGUCGUCGAACGGUCAUCGUCGAACGACCGAUCCUCUCAGAGAGGAUCAUCACUUGGAUCGCCGACACCGCAUUCUUCACAUCGUUCGAAACGUACCAGAGAACCUUCGCGGAAAUCUGCUCCGUCACCUACAAGGAGUCGGAAAACUCCUCCUCAAUAUGAAUCUCAGUCAUCUCGGACCAAAUGCACCGAUCAAAACUCCUCGUCCAAACCCCAAUUGGGGAAAAAUUGACUAGCUAAACCGAAGACAAAAAAAAGGACCGAGUUGUUAAAUACCUCUCCAAACGUCACGCUGCAUCAUGAUCUGUUGGUCACAGCACAGAUCAAUAUUUUAAAUAAUAGAGCACAACCAAUCCGAGCCAGAGCUUUCCUAGAUACUGGGUCUAGUAUGAACUU